This 254-nucleotide ribosomal RNA is filed under the name uncultured bacterium. Its description in RNAcentral is "partial 16S ribosomal RNA". It matches the Rfam family "Bacterial small subunit ribosomal RNA", at positions 524 to 776 of the family's 1533-position model. The record is from RNAcentral.
UACGAAGGGGGCUAGCGUUGCUCGGAAUCACUGGGCGUAAAGGGUGCGUAGGCGGGUUUUUAAGUCAGGGGUGAAAUCCUGGAGCUCAACUCCAGAACUGCCUCCGAUACUGAGAGUCUCCGAGUCCGGGAGAGGUGAGUGGAACUGCGAGUGUAGAGGUGAAAUUCGUAGAUAUUCGCAAGAACACCAGUGGCGAAGGCGGCUCACUGGCCCGGUACUGACGCUGAGGUGCGAAAGCGUGGGGAGCAAACAGG